Long non-coding RNA from Choloepus didactylus (southern two-toed sloth), 449 nucleotides. RefSeq lists it as uncharacterized. The transcript has 3 exons. Lineage: Eukaryota; Metazoa; Chordata; Mammalia; Pilosa; Megalonychidae. The record is from RefSeq and is a predicted model, not a curated record.
CCCACGUGGACCUCUAGCCCCGCGGGUUCUUCCUGCGGCCCCGGCGCUCUGUCCCCUGCGCGGGCCGCGGAGCCGUCGGGCGGACGCCCCGGGGGAGCCUCGGGAGGCGGCGAUGGUGUGUUGCGGGUUCUCAAGACCUCCACGAUGUUGGAUGAUUGAUUGGUGUGACUUCUGGGAAUCAGUGUAUAGUCCUCCUCACAACUGAUUUAUGACAGCAAAAGGAUACAAACCAAAAACAGCAAAGGGAAAACAAACAUCCAUGGACCAAAGUCUGGAGGAAAUCAGGCAGUGAGACUCAAUUUCAAGCCAAUAGGCUAGUUUCUCCAGAGGAAAGUUUUGGAAAAAACGUAUUCAAGGAACAAAAAACAUCAAAAUUCACAAAAAAUGAUUCUUGGAUCAGCAUUUUAGGAAAAAAUAUCGAUGCCCAUAGCAUUGAAAAUCAGUGCAAA